AAUGAACGCUGGCGGCGUGCCUAAUACAUGCAAGUCGAGCGAACGGACGAGAAGCUUGCUUCUCUGAUGUUAGCGGCGGACGGGUGAGUAACACGUGGAUAACCUACCUAUAAGACUGGGAUAACUUCGGGAAACCGGAGCUAAUACCGGAUGAUAUUUUGAACCGCAUGGUUCAAAAGUGAAAGACGGUCUUGCUGUCACUUAUAGAUGGAUCCGCGCUGCAUUAGCUAGUUGGUAAGGUAACGGCUUACCAAGGCAACGAUGCAUAGCCGACCUGAGAGGGUGAUCGGCCAGACGGGAACUGAGACAGGGUCCAGACUCCUACGGGAGGCAGCAGUAGGGAAUCUUCCGCAAUGGGCGAAAGCCUGACGGAGCAACGCCGCGUGAGUGAUGAAGGUCUUCGGAUCGUAAAACUCUGUUAUUAGGGAAGAACAUAUGUGUAAGUAACUGUGCACAUCUUGACGGUACCUAAUCAGAAAGCCACGGCUAACUACGUG
This 497-nucleotide ribosomal RNA is filed under the name uncultured bacterium. RNAcentral describes it as "partial 16S ribosomal RNA". It matches the Rfam family "Bacterial small subunit ribosomal RNA", at positions 29 to 507 of the family's 1533-position model. The record is from RNAcentral.